This 67-nucleotide transfer RNA is filed under the name Aeluroscalabotes felinus. RNAcentral describes it as "tRNA-Gly". The record is from RNAcentral. Lineage: Eukaryota; Metazoa; Chordata; Lepidosauria; Squamata; Eublepharidae.
ACUCUCCUAAUAUAAUAAAUAUAAGUGACUACCACUCACUUCAUCUUAGACACUCUAAGGGAGAGAA